Molecule: ribosomal RNA, 2703 nt
Filed under: Triticum aestivum (bread wheat)
Lineage: Eukaryota; Viridiplantae; Streptophyta; Magnoliopsida; Poales; Poaceae
Description: partial small subunit ribosomal RNA
Source: RNAcentral
AUGAAAGAGAAGGGCACGUCGGAGAAGCCGGCGAAUCAAAAGAUGAAAGCAAACGACAAUGGAGCCGGUCGCCAUCCAGAGAAUCCUCCGACGUGGUACUACGAGAAGUGGAGGGUGCACCAAUUGGACUCUACCAUCUCGUAUGCAUCAAGGUUAAGGCCGCUGAUCCAAAACUGGAGUGACGAGAAGGCACAGAAGGUUGACAACAUAAUCAACAAAAAAUAUAUAGGGGUUGGAGAGUAUGUCGAUGACCUGUUGCGGCCUUUCAAUCCGCCACCAGUUGGGACGCCGGUCAAACCAAAGACUGACUGUCAGGAUAAGGCACUCAUGGGCCGUGUAUUGGCUGAUUUGAAAGAAGUUGCCUCCAUUGUGCGAGAAGCUAGUGCACAACAAUUUGAUAGGAUGAGCACCCUUGAAAAAAAUGGACGAGCUGAAGAAAGAAGAGAUCAAGAUGAUGAAGAUGUCAGUAUUGAGGUGGGAGGAGAGGCAGGUACCAAAAGCAAACACCGGUCUGCCAAGGCUAAGGCAAUAAGGGAGCCGGAAGAGACACAUGUCUUCCCAGUUGAUGAGGACAACUAUGAUGAUUCUUUAGCAAAGCAGCGACAAGAUAGCGUGGUUGAUUCCAUGCUACCAACUCGUACGAGCAUCCGGAAAAGAGUGGCAUCUUCAUUAUUGUGCAAUGAAGAUUACGUUCUGUACGAUAGUGAUAAGAAGAGAAAGAGAAACAGGACUCCAUCGGAGUCUACCAACGAUUCCAAGGACACAAAGAAUACAAAGAGGAAAAAACGUGCAAGCAUUUUUAAAGAUACAGACACAGGUGCUUCAAGGCUGGAGACUGACCUUGACAAGUUUCGACAGAAUCACAAGCAUUUGCAAUGCCUCACCAUGACAAAUGGAGUUUUAGAUGACAAAUGGUUGGGUGACGAAAUCAUGCGUCAUGAUCAUCCUGAGGAGAUAAGGGACGGGCAACUGGUUUACAUUGAGAGGGUGGUCGGCGUCGCUAUGCUCAAAAGAGAUGGUAAGGUAGAGAACUGCCACGAGGCCGCUUUGGUGGGUAGUCAUGGAAUAACAAAAGGAGACAACUACCUCAGACAUGAUCUGAACAUCAAAUUCUUUACGGGAGAAGAUCUUACGCUGCGUUAUGACCAAGCAUACAUUCACAAUUAUAGAAGAGAGCUGCCUGUUGCCCUUCUUACUUCGCCCUACAACAAAUUAAAGUCCAUGAAAAGGCUGAAGAUGUACAUUGCUAGCCUAUCGGAUGCAGCUGCGAUUGAAGAUCAUGAGGAUGCAAGCAGCAUGCCCUGCCAUGGGAAGAAGCACGUCCCUUCAAAUCUUGAUGAUAGUAUGGAGUUGUGGAAGAAACUGAAAGACCGUAAUGACACCAAAAUAACUUUUAAAGGAUUGCUAGCCAAGAUGAAAGUCGACAGCACACCAAAUUUUGUCAGGCCAUUUGUGUUGUACACCAUAGGCAAAUAUGUAUGCCGAACAAAAGAGGAGUAUGUGGAUAACAAAUAUAUUGGGAUUGUUAGAAACGUUGAGACGAUAAAAGGCACAAAUCUUGGACAGCUAACGCUUGACUAUCUUAUGGAUAGCGUGAAGAAUUUUGUAAAUGGUGAGGCAAUUCUUGAGGGGAAUAUACCACUGCUGCAGACAUGGUACUACGAGAAGUUUAGAGUGCACCAAUUGGACUCUAGCAUCUCGUAUGAAUCAAGGUUAAGGCCGCUGAUCCAGAACUGGAGCGAGGAGAAGGCAAAAAAGGUUGACAAUAUAAUCCAAAAUAAUUAUCUGGGAGUUGGAGAGUAUGUUGAGGACCUGAUGAGGCCUUUCAUUCCAGCACGAGAUUGAGUGGACGACAUACAUCUAUCUGACCUCGGGGCACCUUCACACCCAAUGGAGGCCUCUCAUGAGAAUGCUGUGCAGGCUUCUGACCAGGGGAAACAAAAGGAUGUCACGGAGGUUUAUGCUAAGCACGAUUGUAAGCAGGGAAUAAAAAAUGAUGACAUGGAGCCCCCCAUGAAGAACCUUGAUGAAGAUUUUGACGAUGAAGCAUUUGAAAGAGCUGCUGCAAAUAUCAAACAGGAUCUCAGUGGUAUUCAUAAGCUUUUGAAAGAGGUGGAUGAUAUCCAGGGAGCUCCUAGUUUUGAUAACCAAAUGCAUUCCAAAGCCACCACAAGCCUUGAAGAUUUCAGUUCUUGUAGUGCACUAUACAUGCUGAAGAACAUCGAAUUAUUUAUGGGAGUAAAACUAAGGUUGCAAUAUGAUGAAGCCUACAUCGACAAAUUCAGAAGAGAGCUACCUGUUGUGCUUGUCGAUUCACCCUACAACCAAAUGAAAUAUGGGACUAGGUUCAGGAAGUACCAUGCUAGGCAAUCGGAUGCAGCCGCGGUUGAAGACAACGAGGAUGCAAGCAGCACCCGCAUGGAGAACUGGGAGGUGGGAUGGCGCCGACUCUUCGCCGGCGGUCACCGCGGGGAGGGCAGUGGGCCUCCUCUCGUGUUUGUUGAAAAUGCGGUGCGAGAUCGCGAGGGAAUUGGGGUGGAGGAAGGGAAGGGCCACGACGCGCAGUUAGAUCCUGCCGGCGACGAGGGAGGGAGGGGCCACGACGAGCGGCUAGAUCCUGUCGGCGACGAGGGAGGGAGGGGCCGCGACGAGCGGCUAGAUCCUGCCGGCGAGGAUCAAAACCGUAGCGGCGGCGAGGCAUAA